AGUGAACGCUGGCGGCAGGCCUAAUACAUGCAAGUCGAACGGCAGCACAGUAAGAUUUCGCUUUUACCGUUGGCGGGUGGCGGAUGGGUGAGGAGUAGGUCGCAUUCCUCUUUUUCGUGGGGGAUAACGGAGGGCAACUUACGCUAACACCUCAUAUGACCUACGGGAUAAAUCUGGGGAUCAUCGGACCUUGCGCGUCUGAAUGAGCUGAUGUCGGAUUAGCUAGUUGGCUGGGUAAAGGCCCACCAAGGCGACGAUCCGUAGCUGGUCUGAGAGGAUGAUCAGCCACACUGGAACUGAGACACGGUCCAGACUCCUACGGGAGGCAGCAGUAGGGAAUAUUCGACAAUGGGCGCAAGCCUGAUCCAGCAAUACCGCGUGAGUGAAGAAGGCCUUCGGGUCGUAAAGCCCUUUUAUUAGGAAAGAAAAGCAGCAGAAUAAUACCCCGCUGUUCUGACGGUACCCAAAGAGAAAGCACCGGCUAACUUCGUG
This 492-nucleotide ribosomal RNA is filed under the name uncultured bacterium. RNAcentral describes it as "partial 16S ribosomal RNA". It matches the Rfam family "Bacterial small subunit ribosomal RNA", at positions 29 to 507 of the family's 1533-position model. The record is from RNAcentral.